GACGAACGCUGGCGGCGUGCCUAAUACAUGCAAGUCGAGCGGACCAACCAGGAGCUUGCUCUUGUUUGGUUAGCGGCGGACGGGUGAGUAACACGUGGGUAACCUGCCUGUAAGACCGGGAUAACUCCGGGAAACCGGAGCUAAUACCGGAUAACACCGUAAACCGCAUGGUUCAUGGUUGAAAGGCGGUCUCGGCUGCCCCUUACGGUUGAGCCCGCGGCCCAUUAGCUAUUUGGGGAGGUAACGGGUCACCAAGGCGACAUUCCGUACCCGGCCUGAGGGGGUGAACGGCCACACUGGGACUGAGACACGGCCCAGACUCCUUCGGGAGGCAGCAGUAGGGAAUCUUCCGCAAUGGACGAAAGUCUGACGGAGCGACGCCGCGUGGGCGAAGAAGGGCUUCGGAUCGUAAAGCUCUGGUGUUAGGGAAGAAGAAGCGCCGUUCGAACAGGGCGGCGCGGUGACGGUACCUAACGAGAAAGCCCCGGCUAACUACGUG
Molecule: ribosomal RNA, 499 nt
Filed under: uncultured bacterium
Lineage: Bacteria
Description: partial 16S ribosomal RNA
Rfam family: Bacterial small subunit ribosomal RNA
Source: RNAcentral